GAUGAACGCUGGCGGCGUGCCUAAUACAUGCAAGUCGAGCGAACAGACGAGGAGCUUGCUCCUCUGACGUUAGCGGCGGACGGGUGAGUAACACGUGGAUAACCUACCUAUAAGACUGGGAUAACUUCGGGAAACCGGAGCUAAUACCGGAUAAUAUAUUGAACCGCAUGGUUCAAUAGUGAAAGACAGUUUUGCUGUCACUUAUAGAUGGAUCCGCGCCGCAUUAGCUAGUUGGUAAGGUAACGGCUUACCAAGGCAACGAUGCGUAGCCGACCUGAGAGGGUGAUCGGCCACACUGGAACUGAGACACGGUCCAGACUCCUACGGGAGGCAGCAGUAGGGAAUCUUCCGCAAUGGGCGAAAGCCUGACGGAGCAACGCCGCGUGAGUGAUGAAGGUCUUCGGAUCGUAAAACUCUGUUAUUAGGGAAGAACAAAUGUGUAAGUAACUAUGCACGUCUUAACGGUACCUAAUCAGAAAGCCACGGCUAACUACGUG
This 497-nucleotide ribosomal RNA is filed under the name uncultured bacterium. Its description in RNAcentral is "partial 16S ribosomal RNA". It matches the Rfam family "Bacterial small subunit ribosomal RNA", at positions 28 to 507 of the family's 1533-position model. The record is from RNAcentral.